Molecule: non-coding RNA, 1078 nt
Organism: Pelobates cultripes (western spadefoot toad)
Lineage: Eukaryota; Metazoa; Chordata; Amphibia; Anura; Pelobatidae
Source: the annotation of a GenBank genome assembly
GGGAAAUUAUGUGCAAUAUGGGGUGACUUGGCAAUUUGAAUAUAUGUGAAUAUAGCCAGUAUAUACUUUACAAAAGCACAUGAGAAAUAUAUAUACAGUAUAAUGUAUUAUUUGUUUACUUUACAUGUCCUCCUUUAUGAAAAGUCAGGAUAUUUUACAAUGUUUAAUAAAAUUAUUUGAAAUGGACAUAAUGUACACAUUGCUUUUGAAUAAUAAGGGAUAUGUUUAAUGUUCUUAGACUCUGUGUGUAAAUUGUGAAUUUAGUUGUAGGAUUGACAGAUGGGUGUAUAAAACAAGCCUGGUAUAUACAGAGAGGGAGUAAUAUGCUCAUUAUAUAACGACUAUUUGUAAUGUACCAGUCUAGGUAGAAUGUUUGUUAAAUGUAUGCUGACGGUGUGUAAUGUAUUUUCUGUACAAGGUCUGUGUAGAAUGUGUUCUCAUUUUAAUAGGAUUGUACAAUGUUUUCUCAUGGUAUUUAAAGAGUAGGCAAAAUGAAAUAUUAUGGCACUGGAUGCAUUGUAUGAAUAUUAUCCCAGGAAGUAGUUUGAAGAAUUAAUGUAAGAAGGCGCAGUGGGAUAUGUGCAGCGGUCCAGAGCUCAAUGUUUAUGCAUAGGCAAAGUAAAAUGUAUAUAAGAGUUAUAAAGAAUAUGUGGUUAGAAUAAGAACUGGAAGAGACUACACAAUGAUUGGGGUGGGUAGUAUGAAUGUAGAGUGCAGCGUACUAUUGGGGGUCUGAGUAAAAUAUAUUUGCUGUACAAAUUUACACAAAGGUAGGAAAUAAUAUGUGUAAUGUACUCUUGGAAAUGUGAAUGAAAUAUACAACCUGCUGCAUAGGUGGGUAGGAUGCAAUAAACCCUCAAAGGGUGGAAUAUAACCUGGGUGGGAUGCAAUAAAUGUAAAAAAAAAAGCAGGACAGAAAAUGUGCUUAGUAUAUACGAGCUUGGUAAAAUGAAUGCUCAGUAUGAAAAGGCUGGAUGUAAUGUAAUCUCCCAAUGCCUUGGAAGGAUAGAUAUUUUUGGGGGUUAUUUAUUGAGAAACCAUGAGAGUGAUGUACCUUCCUGUCUCUGGUAAAGCUGCC